Molecule: ribosomal RNA, 497 nt
Filed under: uncultured bacterium
Lineage: Bacteria
Description: partial 16S ribosomal RNA
Rfam family: Bacterial small subunit ribosomal RNA
Source: RNAcentral
GAUGAACGCUGGCGGCGUGCCUAAUACAUGCAAGUCGAGCGACCAGACGAGGAGCUUGCUCUUCUGCCGUUAGCGGCUGACGGGUGAGUAACACGUGGAUAACCUACCUCUAUUUCUGGGAUAAUUUCGGGAAACCGGAGCUACUACCGCAUAAUAUAUUGAACCGCUUGGUUCAAUAGUUCAAGACGGUUUUGCUGUCUCUUUUAGAUGGAUCCGCGUCGGAUUAGCUAGUUGGUAAGGUAACGGCCAACCAAGGAAACGAUGCGUAGCUGGCCUGAGAGGGUGAUCAGCCAAACUGGAAAUGAGAAACGGUCCAGACUCCUAAGGGAGGCAGCAGUGGGGAAUAUUGGACAAUGGGCGAAAGCCUGAACGAGCAAUACCGCGUGGGUGAAGAAGGGCUUCGGGUUGUAAAACCCUUUUGUUGGGGAAGAAAAAAAGGAGGAUAAAACAAGGCUGUUCUGACGGUACCUAAAGAAAAAGCCACGGCUAACUACGUG